GAUGGUGCGCCUGGGGGAACCCUAGCUUCAUGAAUCAAGCAAUUGAAUGCUUAAAUCAAAAGAAAAUCUGAUGCAUGAGCUCAAAUUUCGAAUAGCAAGUUCCAAUUUGUGAAGUGGCAAAGCAAUGUUGGAUUAAAGAAUGAUAUGAAUUUGUUGAUCGUUGAUGGGCGUGAAAGAAGAAGGUUCCAACACUAGGAAAUCGGAAGGCUCACAAGAUCGAGGUAAAUCCUCAACUUAAGCGAUUGGUCGACUUGGAACGAGCGCACUUGAUCUACGCCCAUCUCACGCUUCCGUUAUAGUUAAUUUAAUGUGGUCCUAGUUUUAGUCUUAUGAAUUUUUAACUUAUGUCGUCUUUUGAUGUCCUUGUAGUUGGGCAAAAACUUAAUAGUAGUAGUUUGUUUUAGUUUUGAACAAUGUUGAUAACGAGUUAACUCUAACCCGCACGUUACGGCGGAAUGUUAAUUAUUUAAAA
RNAcentral lists this long non-coding RNA (472 nucleotides) under Helianthus annuus (common sunflower). RNAcentral's name for it is "hypothetical non coding rna". The record is from RNAcentral. Lineage: Eukaryota; Viridiplantae; Streptophyta; Magnoliopsida; Asterales; Asteraceae.